CCUACGGGAGGCAGCAGUGGGGAAUAUUGGGCAAUGGGCGCAAGCCUGACCCAGCAACGCCGCGUGAAGGAAGAAGGCCUUCGGGUUGUAAACUUCUUUUCUGAGGGACGAAGAAAGUGACGGUACCUCAGGAAUAAGCGACGGCUAACUACGUGCCAGCAGCAGCGGUAAUACGGAGGUGGCAAGCGUUAUCCGGAUUUAUUGGGUUUAAAGGGCGUGUAGGCGGGAAAGCAAGUCAGAUGUGAAACCUCAGGGCUCAACCCUGAGCCUGCAUUUGAGACUGUUUUUCUUGAGUGCCGGGGAGGCAAUCGGAAUUCCGGGUGUAGCGGUGAAAUGCGUAGAUAUACGGAAGAACACCAGUGGCGAAGGCAGAUUGCUGGACAGUAACUGACGCUGAGGCGCGAAAGCGUGGGGAGCAAACAGGAUUAGAUACCCGGGUAGUC
RNAcentral lists this ribosomal RNA (443 nucleotides) under uncultured bacterium. RNAcentral's name for it is "partial 16S ribosomal RNA". It matches the Rfam family "Bacterial small subunit ribosomal RNA", at positions 338 to 795 of the family's 1533-position model. The record is from RNAcentral.